Molecule: ribosomal RNA, 139 nt
Filed under: uncultured eukaryote
Lineage: Eukaryota
Description: partial 18S ribosomal RNA
Rfam family: Eukaryotic small subunit ribosomal RNA
Source: RNAcentral
UGGUGGGUUGCCUUGUCAGGUUGAUUCCGGUAACGAACGAGACCUCAGCCUGCUAAAUAGUCAAGCGUACCUUUGGUAUGCGUCUGACUUCUUAGAGGGACUAUUGGCGUUUAGCCAAUGGAAGUGUGAGGCGAUAACA